Molecule: ribosomal RNA, 494 nt
Filed under: uncultured bacterium
Lineage: Bacteria
Description: partial 16S ribosomal RNA
Rfam family: Bacterial small subunit ribosomal RNA
Source: RNAcentral
GACGAACGCUGGCGGCGUGCUUAACACAUGCAAGUCGAACGGUGAAGCGCCUUCCUUUUUGGUGGGUGUGGAUGAGUGGCGAACGGGUGAGUAACACGUGAGUAACCUGCCCCCUUCUUCUGGAUAACCGCAUGAAAGUGUGGCUAAUACGGGAUAUUCUGGGUCUGUCGCAUGAUGGGUCUGGGAAAGAUAUUGUUUCGGUGGGGGAUGGGCUCGCGGCCUAUCAGCUUGUUGGUGGGGUGAUGGCCUACCAAGGCGGUGACGGGUAGCCGGCCUGAGAGGGUGGACGGUCACACUGGGAAUGAGACACGGCCCAGACUCCUACGGGAGGCAGCAGUGGGGAAUAUUGCACAAUGGGCGCAAGCCUGAUGCAGCGACGCCCCGUGAGGGAUGGAGGCCUUCGGGUUGUGAACCUCUUUCGCCAGUGAAGCAGGCCUGCCUCGUUUGUGGGUGGGUUGACGGUAGCUGGAUAAGAAGCGCCGGCUAACUACGUG